AUUGAACGCUGGCGGCAGGCUUAACACAUGCAAGUCGAGCGGUAGCACAAGAGAGCUUGCUCUCUGGGUGACGAGCGGCGGACGGGCGAGUAAUGUCUGGGAAACUGCCUGAUGGAGGGGGAUAACUACUGGAAACGGUAGCUAAUACCGCAUAACGUCGCAAGACCAAAGAGGGGGACCUUCGGGCCUCUUGCCAUCAGAUGUGCCCAGAUGGGAUUAGCUAGUAGGUGGGGUAAUGGCUCACCUAGGCGACGAUCCCUAGCUGGUCUGAGAGGAUGACCAGCCACACUGGAACUGAGACACGGUCCAGACUCCUACGGGAGGCAGCAGUGGGGAAUAUUGCACAAUGGGCGCAAGCCUGAUGCAGCCAUGCCGCGUGUGUGAAGAAGGCCUUCGGGUUGUAAAGCACUUUCAGCGAGGAGGAAGGUGGUGAACUUAAUACGUUCAUCAAUUGACGUUACUCGCAGAAGAAGCACCGGCUAACUCCGUG
Molecule: ribosomal RNA, 490 nt
Filed under: uncultured bacterium
Lineage: Bacteria
Description: partial 16S ribosomal RNA
Rfam family: Bacterial small subunit ribosomal RNA
Source: RNAcentral